Molecule: ribosomal RNA, 446 nt
Filed under: uncultured bacterium
Lineage: Bacteria
Description: bacterial SSU rRNA
Rfam family: Bacterial small subunit ribosomal RNA
Source: RNAcentral
CCCAGACUCCUACGGGAGGCAGCAGUGGGGGAUAUUGCACAAUGGGGGGAACCCUGAUGCAGCGACGCCGCGUGGGUGAAGGAGCGUUUCGGCGCGUAAAGCCCUAUCGGCAGGGAAGAAGGAGGACGGUACCUGACUAAGAAGCCCCGGCUAGCUACGUGCCAGCAGCCGCGGUAAUACGUAGGGGGCAAGCGUUAUCCGGAUUUACUGGGUGUAAAGGGGGCGCAGACGGCAGCGCAAGCCAGGAGUGAAAGCCCGGGGCCCAACCCCGGGACUGCUCUUGGAACUGCGCGGCUGGAGUGCAGGAGGGGCAGGCGGAAUUCCUGGUGUAGCGGUGAAAUGCGUAGAUAUCAGGAGGAACACCGGUGGCGAAGGCGGCCUGCUGGACUGCGACUGACGUUGAGGCCCGAAAGCGUGGGGAGCAAACAGGAUUAGAUACCCCUGUA